This 541-nucleotide ribosomal RNA is filed under the name uncultured bacterium. RNAcentral's name for it is "bacterial SSU rRNA". It matches the Rfam family "Bacterial small subunit ribosomal RNA", at positions 777 to 1314 of the family's 1533-position model. The record is from RNAcentral.
AAUAGAUACCCAGGUAGUCCACGCCGUAAACGAUGAGUACUAAGUGUUAGAGGGUUUCCGCCCUUUAGUGCUGCAGCUAACGCAUUAAGCACUCCGCCUGGGGAGUACGGCCGCAAGGCUGAAACUCAAAGGAAUUGACGGGGGCCCGCACAAGCGGUGGAGCAUGUGGUUUAAUUCGAAGCAACGCGAAGAACCUUACCAGGUCUUGACAUCCUCUGACCUCCCUGGAGACAGGGCCUUCCCCCUUCGGGGGGACAGAGUGACAGGUGGUGCAUGGUUGUCGUCAGCUCGUGUCGUGAGAUGUUGGGUUAAGUCCCGCAACGAGCGCAAUCCUUGACCUUAGUUGCCAGCAUUCGGUUGGGCACUCUAAGGUGACUGCCGGUGACAAACCGGAGGAAGGUGGGGAUGACGUCAAAUCAUCAUGCCCCUUAUGACCUGGGCUACACACGUGCUACAAUGGAUGGUACAAAGGGCUGCGAGACCGCGAGGUUAAGCCAAUCCCAGAAAACCAUUCCCAGUUCGGAUUGCAGGCUGCAACCCG